AAACAUCGCCUCUUGACAAAACAUAAGAGGUCCAGCCUGCCCAGUGACAAAGUUUAACGGCCGCGGUACCCUAACCGUGCGAAGGUAGCAUAAUCACUUGUUCUUUAAAUGGGGACUCGUAUCAACGGCACUACGAGGGCUAUACUGUCUCCUUUUUCUAAUCAGUGAAACUGAUCUCCCCGUGAAGAAGCGGGGAUUAAAAUAUAAGACGAGAAGACCCCAUGGAGCUUUAAACUCACCAUGCACCUCUGUGCCCCCCAUAUCCUUAAACACAACGGACCUGCAUGCUAGUUUUAGGUUGGGGUGACCACGGAGUACAACUUAACCUCCACAGCAAAUGGGCUAAUACCCUUAUCCACGAGACACAACUCUAAGAAUUAUUAUACUAAUGCUUAUUGACCCGAUAUUCGAUCAAUGAACCAAGUUACCCUGGGGAUAACAGCGCAAUCUACUUCAAGAGCCCAUAUCGACAAGUAGGUUUACGACCUCGAUGUUGGAUCAGGGUAUCCCGGUGGUGCAGCCGCUACCAAUGGUUUGUUUGUUCAACGAUUAAAACCCUACGUGA
RNAcentral lists this ribosomal RNA (565 nucleotides) under Rana dybowskii. RNAcentral's name for it is "partial 16S ribosomal RNA". It matches the Rfam family "Bacterial large subunit ribosomal RNA", at positions 1811 to 2603 of the family's 2925-position model. Lineage: Eukaryota; Metazoa; Chordata; Amphibia; Anura; Ranidae. The record is from RNAcentral.